Molecule: unclassified non-coding RNA, 165 nt
Filed under: uncultured fungus
Lineage: Eukaryota; Fungi
Description: sequence contains ITS1
Source: RNAcentral
GUGAAAUAACCUGGGACUUGAUGUCCCAAACCAUCUCACAAUCUACACACCUUUGUGCACUGUUGAAUGGGCCUGAUAAAUACAUAUAUUUUUUUCGGGCCUAUUCUAUUAUCUUACAAACAUCUUAUGUAUGUAAGGAAAGUGUUAUUGAAAUAAUAUAUAAAA